This is a long non-coding RNA of Nerophis ophidion (straightnose pipefish), 1517 nucleotides long. RefSeq lists it as uncharacterized. The transcript is spliced from 3 exons. The record is from RefSeq and is a predicted model, not a curated record. Lineage: Eukaryota; Metazoa; Chordata; Actinopteri; Syngnathiformes; Syngnathidae.
GGUGGUCACAUCAGUGCCACCCAAAACCUUCAGUCACAUCAGUCUUGAUCUGACGCUUACAAAACAUCACUGAGAAAGCAACUGGAAAUGACCUACUAGGUUACUCACUUUGUAAAGCUACGAUCAGUGAGAGGCAGGAUUUAUGAUCUACAAUAAACUUCCAUGGAGCAAGGAAACGAGGACGCAGAAGACCACUCGAUGACGUAAACAUCAGGACACAUGAUAGUGAUGACGUCGCCGCCAUAAAGGGUGCAUGUCUUUGGAGGUGGGAAGAAGCCGGAGUACCUGGAGGGAACCCAUAGAUUCACAGGGAGGACAAGCAAACUCCACACAGAAAGAUUCCGAGCCCGGGAUUGAACCCUACCUACUCAGGACCUUCAUAUUGUGAGGCAGACAAACUAACCCCUCUCCUACCGUGAAGCCAUCCAUCCUUUUUCUACCGCUUAUCCCUUUGCCAUAUAUUUACAGCAUGUAUGUAAAACUUUAAUGAAUGUGUUUGGAUGUUUUAAGGGCUUUGUAGGCAGAAUAGAGCGAUUCAAAUAGGCUCCAUUGUAAGCGGACUUUUGAUAGUAUUUAUUUACUAUUUAGAAUGUAUUACAAAAAAGAAUACAUACGUGUUCUUUUCUUACAUAAGGAUUGCGAAUGAUAGGCAGAAUUUCAAAAGAAGCGCUUUGACUGAAUCUUCUGAACCCGUUCCAUUGCCAGUGUUAUAUGAAACAGAAUGCUGUUUGGAAAGCAUGAAUGUACCAGUUGCUCAACUUUCCAUAACUGAUGCCAUGUAGUCCUUCAGACUGACAAGAGAUACAAAAUGAAUCACAUUUUAAUCACAAUGAAGAUUUGGGCUGCCACGAUUGAAUGAAGGUGAUAGUCUGCUGUAUAUUAGAUCACAGCCUACGGCAGAAGGAAAGCAAUAGUGGCUCAUCUUUAAGCCUUGUGAAGCAACUCUUACUCAAGCCAGAGGACUUUCUGAAUGGGUACAGAGCUUAAUGACCACGUCGACAAUAAUGAACUUAACCCAGGCCGCUAAAGCCGGUCGCCUUGUUUCACGGCCCAGACUUCUGUGGCGUCUAGCUUGGCGUGUAUCAAAGAACGCACUGCUGUCAGACAGCAACAGGUGUUGACGUUUGCACAACACACUGCUCUGUUUGUCUACUUGGGGUUGCACUACCAGGACCAACAGCUAACCAUUGUGUAAAAGAGUUUGGAGACACUUUUCGUUCAGGUGCCAAUAUUUCUCGCCGGACCAAAAAAACUGGGUCAUGCGGGGGUGCCCAGUUGAUGAAGCAGAGGCCACUUGCAGAACAUGCCUUUUUUAUGGCCAGGAAAAACUAAAGCAAAACAAAACAGCCAAACUUAAAUAGAGCCAAGUCUUUAUGUACUGUUAUCUAGUUUGCAUAUUCAUGUCACAGAUUUCAUGUAUAUCUAUAUGUUACCCUCUAUCCAUUACAUCUAGUUUGUAGAAUUCUAAAUAUUUUACUCAAACGAUUUAUUCUAUAUAUACAUAUUUAAAUACUGUA